Molecule: ribosomal RNA, 490 nt
Filed under: uncultured bacterium
Lineage: Bacteria
Description: partial 16S ribosomal RNA
Rfam family: Bacterial small subunit ribosomal RNA
Source: RNAcentral
AUUGAACGCUGGCGGCAGGCCUAACACAUGCAAGUCGAACGGUAACAGGAAGAAGCUUGCUUCUUUGCUGACGAGUGGCGGACGGGUGAGUAAUGUCUGGGAAACUGCCUGAUGGAGGGGGAUAACUACUGGAAACGGUAGCUAAUACCGCAUAACGUCGCAAGACCAAAGAGGGGGACCUUCGGGCCUCUUGCCAUCGGAUGUGCCCAGAUGGGAUUAGCUAGUAGGUGGGGUAACGGCUCACCUAGGCGACGAUCCCUAGCUGGUCUGAGAGGAUGACCAGCCACACUGGAACUGAGGCACGGUCCAGACUCCUACGGGAGGCAGCAGUGGGGAAUAUUGCACAAAGGGCGCAAGCCUGAUGCAGCCAUGCCGCGUGUAUGAAGAAGGCCUUCGGGUUGUAAAGUACUUUCAGCGGGGAGGAAGGGAGUAAAGUUAAUACCUUUGCUCAUUGACGUUACCCGCAGAAGAAGCACCGGCUAACUCCGUG